Molossus molossus (Pallas's mastiff bat) is the source of this 351-nucleotide long non-coding RNA. RefSeq lists it as uncharacterized. The transcript is spliced from 3 exons. The record is from RefSeq and is a predicted model, not a curated record. NCBI's taxonomy places the organism in Eukaryota, Metazoa, Chordata, Mammalia, Chiroptera, Molossidae.
AAACUUAUGUUAACAUCUGUUGGUUAACAUUUGUGAACCUGACAACUUGCUUGGAAAAGUAGCAGUGUCUACAAUGAGACUCAGAGGCUAAGAAAUCGCCUGAUGCCAUACAACUACAUGUACUGAUGACUGAGAUUCAAACUUGGAUUUAUCUGGCUCCAAAGUCUCUACUCCUUCCACAACAAUAAAACUAAGGAGAAGAGAGAGAGAAAACUAAUUCUCAAUAACAAAGGAUGUAUACUUCCCUGGCCAGCAGUUAGAACAUCGACCCGACCCUCGGACUAAAGGUCCAGAUUUAGAUGCAGAGAUGAUGAAGCUGUUGAACUGGCAUUUGAGGCCAUUGGAGGGAGC